RNAcentral lists this ribosomal RNA (2951 nucleotides) under Capsicum baccatum. RNAcentral describes it as "eukaryotic LSU rRNA". The stretch from base 386 to 1826 matches the Rfam family "Eukaryotic large subunit ribosomal RNA". The record is from RNAcentral. Lineage: Eukaryota; Viridiplantae; Streptophyta; Magnoliopsida; Solanales; Solanaceae.
ACUCUCGGGAAUGGAUAUCUCGGCUCUUACAUCGAUGAAGAACGUUGCGAAAUGCGAUACUAGGUAUGAAUUACAGAAUCCUAUGAACCAUCGAGUCUUUGAAUGGAUGUUGUGCCCGAAGCCAUUAGGCCGAGGGCGCUUCUGCCUGGGCAUCACUCAUCGUGUCACUCUCUCGCAUCGUGCCUCAAUCACGGGGUGCGCUGUCGUCGUGGGGCGGAUACUGGCCUCCCAUUCACCUCGAGCUCGCGAAUGGACUAAAUGCGAGUCCACGUCGACGGACGUCGCAGCAAGUGGUGGUUGCAACUCAACUCUCUUUGCCGUCGCGGCUAUGGCCCGUCGCGCGUUCGGACUCCAGGACCCCUUCGCGCUCAGGCGCUCCGAUCGCGACCGCAGGUCAGGCGGGAUUACUCGUUGAGUUUAAGAAUAUUAAUAAGCGGACGAAAAGAAACUUACAAGGAUUCCCUUAGUAACGGCGAGCGAAUCGGGAACAGCCCAGCCUUAUAAUCGGGCGGCUUCGUUGUCCGAAUUGUAGUCUGGAGAAGCAUCCUCAGCAGCAGACCGGGCCCAAGUCCCCUGGAAGGGGGCGCCGGAGAGGGGUGAGAGCCCCGUCGUGCCCUGACCCUGUCGCACCACCAGGCGAUGUCUACGAGUCGGGUUGUUUGGGAAUGCAGCCUAAAUACGGGCGAGAGAUCGAUAGCGAACAAGUACCGCGAUGGAAAGAUGAAAAGGACUUUGUAAAGAUAGUCAAAGAGUGCUUGAAAUUGUCGGGAGCGAAGCGGAUGGGGGCCGGCGAUGCACCCCGGUCGGAUGUGGAACGGCGACGAGCCGGUAUACCGAUCGACCUGGGGCGUGGAUCAGCGUGGAUUAGGGGGGCGGCCAAAGCCCAGGCUCUCGAUACACUCAUGGAAUGCCAUAUCCUCGAUUGUGGCAGGCAGCGCGCACCUCUGACGUGCUUCGACAUCUGCGCGCUCCGGACGCUGGCCUGUGGGCUCCCCAUUCGACCCGUCUUGAAACACGAACCAAGGAGUCUGCCAUUAUGCGAGUCAACGGGCGAGUAAACCCGUAAGGAUCAAGGAAGCUGAUUAGUGGGAUCCCCCCGAGGGGUGUACCGCCGACCGACCUUGAUCUUCUGAUAAGGGUUCGAGUGUGAGCAUACCUGUCGGGACCCGAAAGAUGGUGAACUAUGCCUGAGCGGGGCGAAGCCAGAGGAAACUCUGGUGGAGGCCCGCAGCGAUACUGACGUGCAAAUCGUUCGUCUGACUUGGGUAUAGGGGCGAAAUACUAAUCGAAUUGUCUAGUAGGUGGUUCCCUCCGAAGUUUCCUUCGGGAUAGCUGGAGCUCGCGUGCGAGUUCUGUCGGGUAAAGCCAAUGAUUAGAGGUCUCGGGGACACAACGCCCUCAAACUAUUCUCAAACUUUGAAUAGGUAGGACGGUGCGACUGCUUUGUUGAUCCGCGCCACAGAAUCAAGAGCUCCGAGUGGGCCAUUUUUGGUAAGCAGAACUGGCGAUGCGGGAUGAACUGGAAGCCGGGUUACGGUGCCAAAAUGCGCGCUAACCUAGAUCCCAUAAAGGGUGUUGGUAGAUUAAGACAGCAGGACGGUGGUCAUGGAAGUCGAAAUCUGCUAAGGAGUGUGUAACAACUCACCUGCCGAAUAAACUAGCCUCGAAAAUGGAUGGAGCUUAAGAGCACAACCUACACCCGGCCGUCGGGACAAGUGACAGGCCCCGAUGAGUAGGAGGGUGUGGCGGUCACUGCAAAACCAUGGGCGCGAGCCCGGGUGGAGCAGAAGGAUCACUGCCCGCAUCGCGUUACCCCCUCGCAUCGUGCCUCAAUCACGGGCCGCGCUGUCGUCAUGGGGCGGAUACUGGCCUCGUGUACGCCUCGAGCUAGAGACUGGCCUAAAUGCGAGUCCACAUCGACGGACGUCGCGGAAAGUGGUGGUUGCAACUCAACUCUCUUUACCAUCGCGGCUAUGGCCCGUCGCACGUCCGGACUCCUGGACCCUUUCGCACUCAGGCGCUCCUACCGCGACCUCAGGUCAGGCGGGAUUACCCGUAGAGUUUAAGCAUAUUAAUAAACGGAGGAAAAGAAACUUACAAGGAUUCCCUUAGUAACGGCGAGUGAAUCGGGAACAGCCCAGCCUUAGAAUCGGGCGGCUCCGUCAUCCGAAUUGUAGUCUGGAGAAGCAUCCUCAGCGGCGGACCAAGCCCAAGUCCCCUUGAAGGGGGCGCCAGAGAGGGUGAGAGCCCCGUCGUGCCCGGACCCUAUCGCACCAUGAGGCGCUGUCUACGAGUCGGGUUGUUUGGAAAUGCAGCCUAAAUCGGGCGGUGAAUUCCAUCCAAGGCUAAAUAUGGGCGAGUGACCGAUAGCGAACAAGUACCGCGAGGGAAAGAUGAAAAGGACAUUGAAAAGAGAGUCAAAGAGUGCUUGAAAUUAUCGGGAGGGAAACGGAUGGGGGCCGGCGAUGCGCCCCGAUCGGAUGUGGAACGACGAUGAGACAGUACGCCGAUCGACCCGGGUCGUGGACCAGCGUGGAUUGGGGGGGGCCAAAGUCCAGGCUUUCGAUACGCUCGUGGAAUGUCGUUUCCUUGAUUGUGGCAGGCAGCGCGCGCCUCCGGCAUGCUUCGGCAUCUGCGCGCUCCGGACGCUGGCCUGCUGGCUCCCCAUCCGACCCAUCUUGAAACACGGACCAAGGAGUCUUACAUGUGUGCGAGUCAACGGGCGAGUAAACCCGUAAGGCGUAAGGAAUCUGAUAGGUGGGAUCGCCCCGAGGCGUGCACUGCCGACCGACCUUGAUCUUCUGAGAAGGAUUCGAGUGUGAGCAUACCUGUUGGGACCGGCCUUGCUGCCACGAUCCACUGAGAUUCAGCCCUUUGUCGCUCCAGUUCGUCCCUCCCCAUCCAAUCCAACCACCCUGUCACCCGUCUCUAAAGGAGGUUCGUGCAUUCGU